UGGGGAAUAUUGCGCAAUGGGCGAAAGCCUGACGCAGCAACGCCGCGUGAGCGAUGAAGCCUUUCGGGGUGUAAAGCUCUGUCAAGAGGAAUGAUUAUGACAGUACCUCUAGAGGAAGUCACGGCUAAUUACGUGCCAGCAGCCGCGGUAAUACGUAAGUGGCAAGCGUUAUCCGGAUUUACUGGGCAUAAAGAGCGUGUAGGUGGUAUCUUAAGUCAGGUGUAAAAGGCUACAGCUUAACUGUAGUAAGCAUUUGAAACUGAGAUACUUGAGGUCAGUAGAGGAAAGUGGAACUCACAGUGUAGCGGUGAAAUGCGUAGAUAUUGUGAGGAACACCAGUGGCGAAGGCGACUUUCUGGACUGAAUCUGACACUAAAGCGCGAAAGCGUGGGGAGCGAACGGG
This 403-nucleotide ribosomal RNA is filed under the name uncultured bacterium. RNAcentral's name for it is "bacterial SSU rRNA". It matches the Rfam family "Bacterial small subunit ribosomal RNA", at positions 355 to 776 of the family's 1533-position model. The record is from RNAcentral.